CCUACGGGUGGCUGCAGUGGGGAAUAUUGCACAAUGGGGGAAAGCCUGAAGCAGCGACGCAGCGUGAGCGAUGAAGUAUUUAGGGAUGUAAAGCUCUAUCAGCAGGGACGAAAAAAGACGGUACCUUACUAAGAAGCCCCGGCUAAAUACGUGCCAGCAGCCGCGGUAAUACGUAGGGGGCAAGCGUUAUCCGGAUUUACUGGGUUUAAAGGGAGCGUAGACGGGAAGUCAAGUCAGAGGUGAAAGGGUAGGGCUCAACCCUGUAAAUGCUUUUGGAACUGGGGUUCUAGAGUGCAGGAGAGGUAAGUGGAAUUCCUAGUGUAGCGGUGAAAUGCGUAGAUAUUAGGAGGAACACCAGUGGCGAAGGCGGCUUACUGGACUGUAACUGACGUUGAGGCUCGAAAGCGUGGGGAGCAAACAGGAUUAGAUACCCUUGUAGUC
This 441-nucleotide ribosomal RNA is filed under the name uncultured bacterium. RNAcentral describes it as "partial 16S ribosomal RNA". It matches the Rfam family "Bacterial small subunit ribosomal RNA", at positions 338 to 795 of the family's 1533-position model. The record is from RNAcentral.